Long non-coding RNA from Bufo bufo (common toad), 570 nucleotides. RefSeq lists it as uncharacterized. NCBI's taxonomy places the organism in Eukaryota, Metazoa, Chordata, Amphibia, Anura, Bufonidae. The transcript is spliced from 2 exons. The record is from RefSeq and is a predicted model, not a curated record.
GGAAAGAGGUUUCAGGGAGAAAUGCAGCUAAAGAAGAGCUAGUAAAACUUCUCCUUGCUUGUUUUCUUGGGAUAUAUCCACAUGGCAGCCACCCACAGAAAUGUCCAUUACCAGGGAAAAGUGUAGGAGUGAAAUGUGCAUUUUCUUACAAUGAGCACCACCAGAAGAGGCAGAGGGAAGAAAUCAUUCCUUGUGAACAGAUGCCUGGGAGCUGAUGCUGCAGAUUGGAGCACAACAUGGCGUAAGAAGCCCAUCAGCACAAAGCUAUUACCUACCGGACCUCCAUUAUCAGCCAUCUUAUCAAUCAACUCUCCCUCUCUCUCAGCUACAAAAGAAGCUGCUGCUUCCUUCCCUACCUUCAAAUGCUGCUGCAGUGACUUGACAAGACCUUACCAUGGUUCGAACUGCUUGUAUUAAAUAUAUAUAUAUAUAUAUAUAUAUAUAUAUAUAACCCUUUCAUGCGUGUAUUUAUGUAUAUAAAGGAAUAUGCAAAUGCUGAUAUUUUAUCUACCAUUUUAUUGCAUCUUUAAAGAGAAUUAUUCUUUUUGCCAUCGUUGCCUGUGCCAUUAU